RNAcentral lists this transfer RNA (74 nucleotides) under bacterium. Its description in RNAcentral is "tRNA-Val". It matches the Rfam family "tRNA". From Rfam's summary of the family: Transfer RNA (tRNA) molecules are approximately 80 nucleotides in length. Their secondary structure includes four short double-helical elements and three loops (D, anti-codon, and T loops). RNAcentral also lists the same sequence under 3 other names. The record is from RNAcentral.
GGGGUGCUAGCUCAGUUGGUUAGAGCGUUACGUUGACAUCGUAAAGGUCAGUGGUUCGAGUCCACUGCAUCCCA